GCGAGAGGCGGAGCUCAUGAUAUGUUGGAGCGUCUGAUUGGCCGAGCACAGAAGCUGCAGGACUCGUCAGUGGCGCUGUACUACUUCAGUGUUAAGGGGUGUGGUGAAGGAAACGGAUGCAGCACAAUCUCCUGCCACACAGGAGAGGAUCGUGGGUAAGGUGGACGGAGCCAGAUUAACUUCCUGUUUCAGAAAUUCCCUUGUGUCCUUUAUGACUGAAAAAGCCCCUUCAUGGGAUACAUGUUCAUUAAUCUCUUCAACAGAUUUCCUGUUGUGUGUGAAUCUGGUAGACACUGCAGUAGAGAACAUCACCGGGGCAGUGAGGAAACAUCAGCAGGGCCAGGCGUGUGUGAUAGUUCUGAGAGCUCUGCAGCCUAAAGAGGUGAAGCAGCUGAUGACUACAGCCCAGUGGACUGAACUCUGCCAGACAACAGCAGACCCACAGAGUCUCCAGCACACAGAGUGCAAGAACAAGGCAGUUCAUGGGAAGAUGCUGAAGGCCUGGAACUCUGUCACUUCCGGGUCAAAACGGUUCUCAGUGAGAAGGUGGAGGUGAAUCUAGACUCUCUCAGGAAUGUUCUGAGGUCCAUGAAUUCUGAGGGGAGUCUGCAGAAGAUCCUGUGACAUGAGGAGGCAAAGCAGGAUGCAGGGACAAGUCUUGUUGGUGUGGAGACAAGACACCUCACUGUGUGUUUCAUUCCUAUAGCAGGUGCUCUGAACUUCUGACCUGAUGGAUGCUGUUCAAGCUCCGAUAGCAAAAGAUGAUGAGGACAGAGCUGUGUUGUCAAUCACUUUUUAUUAAGCAAAUCGACAACAGGAGUAGCCCAGAUAGAAAUAUGUGUUUAGUAGUGGUUUGUAUAUGUGAUAUUGUAAUCUAUGGAGGAGUAGUGAUAUGUUUGUGUAACAUGAAACAAGAGUUUUUAGAGGGAAAAAUGUGAAGACAUCUGUAGGGUGUGACGAGAUAAAGAUUAGCUAUACAGUAAAAUAAAUGUACUAGAGUACAGCGGUGAUUUGGGUUUUCAGAUCUAGAAUUCUAACAUAACUCUCGUUUGUAUCUAACAAUGUCUUAUGAGUGUGUUGUGAGACGUGUCUAAAUGAAGCUUUAUUUUCUUUUCACUUAGUGUACCAAAGUAGCGUAUUAGACUAGUAGGCUAUGAGUUACAACAUCCCAAACGGAAGAAGAUAACGUGCUUAUACUGCAGUUGUCAAGACUGUUACUUUAUCAUUUACUAUCAUCCAUCCAGAGAGAGAGA
Non-coding RNA from Electrophorus electricus (electric eel), 1253 nucleotides. Lineage: Eukaryota; Metazoa; Chordata; Actinopteri; Gymnotiformes; Gymnotidae. The record is from RefSeq and is a predicted model, not a curated record.